UUCGGAACACGAACGACUCUCGGCAACGGAUAUCUCGGCUCUCGCAUCGAUGAAGAACGUAGCGAAAUGCGAUACUUGGUGUGAAUUGCAGAAUCCCGUGAACCAUCGAGUCUUUGAACGCAAGUUGCGCCCGAAGCCACUAGGCCGAGGGCACGCCUGCCUGGGCGUCACGC
Molecule: ribosomal RNA, 173 nt
Filed under: Berzelia cordifolia
Lineage: Eukaryota; Viridiplantae; Streptophyta; Magnoliopsida; Bruniales; Bruniaceae
Description: 5.8S ribosomal RNA
Rfam family: 5.8S ribosomal RNA
About the family: 5.8S ribosomal RNA (5.8S rRNA) is a component of the large subunit of the eukaryotic ribosome. It is transcribed by RNA polymerase I as part of the 45S precursor that also contains 18S and 28S rRNA. Functionally, it is thought that 5.8S rRNA may be involved in ribosome translocation.
Source: RNAcentral